ACAUCAACCUCAUUGUAGAAAGUCUACCCUUUUGACAGCUGCUCAGAUUGCUUCUUUGCCAUGCUCUUCAAAUCAGGUUUCGUCAUAACACCUCACUGUCUUUUUGUGUUGUCUAUAUUUGUUGUUUAUGAAUCUGUCACACCAAGUUAAACAACACUACAGCUGGACUAUGCAAUAUACUUUAUUUUUAGGUUUCUGGAAAAGCUUUGCGUUGUGUGUGAGAGCUAUGGAGGAAAGGCAUCAUUAUGGAGGAAUCCUAAUUGUAAAUUGAACCACAUAAUUUUCUCCAUCCCCAAAUUAGCAGUAUAAGCAGGUUACUUCUUUUCCUAGCCAAGAUGGCAGAUAGGAAAUUGUGACUGCAUUUUGGCCGUCCCAGGGCAAGAACUCAAGUUUCAGUGCAAGACCUUCACUAUUGGCUUCAGCUACUUCACGGAAUUGUACUUGUGGGCUCAGAUGGGCUGAGGACCUGGGAGACAGACAAUUGGGACCAGCAGUUGGGUGUGUGUGACUUGAAGGUCAUUAGCAUGGGACUCUGAGAAACUACCAAUGAAGAAGAGAUUCAAACACUCAACCAUUCCUGCUGUUUGAUGAAGAAGGCGUACCUGAUUGAUUGAGAUUCAUUAUGAACUUGUUGGAUUUUCUCUGCUCGUAGAAUCUGGCGCAACUUGAAUCCCACAAGAGCAAGGACUUCCCAGUCAACAUUCAAAGACUUGUCAGAACUACAUCAGGAAAAGGUUAGCUAAAAGAUGACUGAUUAUCCACAGGUCACAUGAAUCAGAUAAAGUCCUUACCUUGGAAAAAGCAUGGGGCUGUAAAUUCACAAUUACUCCUAUUUAAACAAGAAGAAGGAAGCUAUAUUCUAUAAUGAUUCAAUCUGCCAGGGCAGCUUCCAGAAUAUCCAGACAUACUGUAUAGAAUACUAAAGGCUAAAGAGAGCAAAGGUGUGGGUGAACCUUCUAGAUAUAGCCUUAGAUGCUGAAAACUGCUGAGUCCAAAUGAUUUUGGGCACAUACAUUUAUUACAUAUGCAAUGUGAUAGAGUGGUGUGGGUGCAGCAUAUUUAAUGUCUGUGGUGAUGUGUGUCAUUGGGCAAUCUGAAUAUGAAGACACAUUGUGUAACUCCUCCCCACUGCAGCUCCACUCCCAAUUUCACUUACAUUACAUUUCGUUGUGCCCAUCCCAGUGCUUGUCAGACCCCUUUGUGAGGCUGGUGUAGGGUGGGAGAGGUAGGGCUGGACACCAGCAGAACAAGAAGAAGAACUGGCCCUUCUAGCAGCAGUGAAUUCUCACAUUGGCUGAAUUGUUCUGUAUAUAUUUGCCCUGAAAGUGAGCUCAGGAGGAUGGAACCAGUGCAAGCCUCUCUCUGUCCUACAAAGCACUUUGCUUCUGGGCCAGGGUAAAAAUAACCUUUUGCCAUGGUUUGUUUGCAGUGCAAUAUUUCAUCUAUUUUAACUUACAAUCAACACUGACAGCUCUUAAGAUUGUAUCUCAGAUAGCAGGAUGUUUGGACCUCUUUUAAUAAAAGACUCUAUAGCUCAAGAGACUGAAGACAGAUUUAAAGUAAUGUUUUAAGGCUGUUUGGGGACUUAAGAUGCAAGAUGUGAUUGAAACCUGCAGAGCUGUAGGAAAAGGCCCAACAGCUUGAAACUGCAGAACAGUAGGAACUCAUUUUUAAUGAUCUCUUGAUGUUUUUGAAAGUAUUGUGAAUUUCAGGAAGGUUAUUCCAUGAGAUUUGAAUGCCAAGGACUGACUGUACUGUAUAAUGGCUGUGGAUGUUUUUCUAUGCUGUUCAGGUUAAAAAUUAGUGUGAGUUUAAUGAGAACUCUGCAGAAAAUUGUGAGAAAUCCUAAUGUGGGAAAAAAGCCACCUGAGAAAGCAGACUUCAAAGAAUGUGUUCAAAUUUUUUGUUAGAACGGUCUUUUGUUUGCCUAGCAGAAUAUAAAAAAGUGGUUUAAAAGCUUU
Molecule: non-coding RNA, 1961 nt
Organism: Anas platyrhynchos (mallard)
Lineage: Eukaryota; Metazoa; Chordata; Aves; Anseriformes; Anatidae
Source: RefSeq, a predicted model, not a curated record